Molecule: ribosomal RNA, 497 nt
Filed under: uncultured bacterium
Lineage: Bacteria
Description: partial 16S ribosomal RNA
Rfam family: Bacterial small subunit ribosomal RNA
Source: RNAcentral
GAUGAACGCUGACGGCGUGCCUAAUACAUGCAAGUCGAGCGAACGGACGAUAAUCUUGCUUCUCUGUUGUUAGCGGCGGACGGGUGAGUAACACGUGGAUAACCUACCUAUAAGACUGGUAUAACUUCGGGAAACCGGAGCUAAUACCGGAUAAUAUUUUGAACCGCAUGGUUCAAAAGUGAAAGACGGUCUUGCUGUCACUUAUAGAUGGAUCCGCGCUGCAUUAGAUAGUUGGUAAGGUAACGGCUUACCAAGGCAACGAUGCAUAGCCGAACUGAGAGAGUGAUAGGCCACACUGGAACUGAGACACGGACAAGACUCCUAAGGGAGGCAGCAGUAGGGAAUCUGCCGCAAUGGGCGAAAGCAUGACGGAGCAACGCCGCGUGAGUGAUGAAGGUCUUCGGAGCGUAAAACUCGGUUAUUAGGGAAGAACAUAUGUGUAAGUAAAUGUGCACAGCUUGACGGUACCUAAUCAGAAAGCAACGGCUAACUACGUG